CCUUAUUCUUCCUGUUUGGAGUUAGGACUUGAUGUUGGAGAUGGGGCAGCCAUCUUCUGCCCAUGAGGGAAGAAGUGUGUGCUAAGGAAGGCUGCGUAGAGGGAUUAAAAGAGCUCAGGUGGCUGAUGACAUUUGGACUACCUUCCUUCUGACUUUUCAUUACGUGAGAAAAAUAACCACCCCCACCUCUACAAAUUGUGCACCCAGCUCGAAGCCCAGUGUGUGGUAGGCCCUCAAUAAAUGCCUGCGGAAUGACCUCACCUGGAGCCUGGCCUGCACCGCCUGGGGGAGUAGUCUCAGCAUCUGCCAUGGCCAUCCGGGUGGCUGUUUUAAUUGGGCAGCACAUUCCUGAAGAGCCACCCAUCACUUCUCACCUGUGCCUGGCUUCCAAGCUCCUCAGUUUCUCCAUGUGCAUCACGUACCCCUGGCCCCACAGGCUGAGAGGAGUCAUGCAUCGAGUGGCUGUGGUCCUGAAAAGCCUUGCACACGAGAAAAGCAAGAAUACUGGAGCGGAUUGCCAUUUCCUUCUCCAGGGGAUCUUCCGGACCCAGGGAUGGAACACACAUCUCCUGCAUUGCAGGUGUAGAAGGUAACUCCAUGAUGACCAGACUGUACCCAGGUUAUGAGCUGCCAUAAUUCUAAGAACUGACCGCAAAGACAUGGGAACAAACUGACCCCGGAACUGAAGAUUAACUGUACCUAAAACAAUCAAGAUGAUGCUGGUCUGCAGACCACUGAUGACCAAUUUAAAGAUGACUCUUAGAGAUGACUGUGCUUUUUCUGCACACAGCCCCCCACCCCACCCUGUCUAUAAAAGCUCUCACCCCCUGCUUGUUGGGGGCAGUGGCAGGGGGGCAGUCGGCCUUUGGACAGACGUCUACAACCUUCCCCUUGCCCAACCCCCAGUUGCCAGCAUCUGAAAUAAAGCAAACUGUCCUUUGC
Bos taurus (domestic cattle) is the source of this 942-nucleotide long non-coding RNA. Lineage: Eukaryota; Metazoa; Chordata; Mammalia; Artiodactyla; Bovidae. The record is from Ensembl.